CUACAUUCUUUCUCCCACUCUCACAACUUUUCUCCCACCAUUAUCACACUCCAUAGAAGCCUUUGAAGCCCCAAGAGAAGUAGCAAAGCAAUGGAGAGUGUGGGAAAACUAUAGAGUGAAGGUUGUGCUUCGAGGGUCCGGGCGACAGAAAGUGAAGCCGAAGAAGAAACGACUCCACGCCAGCUUUAAGAACAAUUGAGGUUGAGCAGGCGAUGGAAUGGAUCGGUGUUGAGCGGAUUUCCCUUUUGAUGUUUAUGUAAUGAAACCUUGAGUAUGCAUCUCCAUAUGCAUAACUCACACGUUUUUUUCGCUGCAAACACUCUGACUUAUUUAUCAUUUCUACUUGAACUUAUUACUACUUCAUUUUAAUUAACUUUCAGUUGGGGUCUAGUCGUUAUGGCAGACUCAUUUGUGAAUUACCCAAGUGGUUAUAUAUAUAUACCACUAGUUUGUUAUUAA
Long non-coding RNA from Salvia miltiorrhiza (redroot sage), 459 nucleotides. RefSeq lists it as uncharacterized. The transcript is spliced from 3 exons. Lineage: Eukaryota; Viridiplantae; Streptophyta; Magnoliopsida; Lamiales; Lamiaceae. The record is from RefSeq and is a predicted model, not a curated record.